AGCAGCCGCGGUAAUUCCAGCUCCAAUAGCGUAUAUUAAAGUUGUUGCAGUUAAAAAGCUCGUAGUUGAAUUUCGGGGUCAGUAGAUUGGUCAUGCCUCCGGUAUGUACUGGUCUUACUGGCUCCUCCUUCCUGAUGAACCGUAAUGCCAUUAAUUUGGUGUUGCGGGGAGACUGGACUGUUACUUUGAAAAAUUAGAGUGUUUAAAGCAGGCUAACGCUUGAAUACAUUAGCAUGGAAUAAUGAAAUAGGACGUUCGAUCUUAUUUUGUUGGUUUCUAAGAUUGACGUAAUGAUUAAUAGGGAUAGUUGGGGC
RNAcentral lists this ribosomal RNA (314 nucleotides) under uncultured Glomus. RNAcentral describes it as "SSU rRNA". It matches the Rfam family "Eukaryotic small subunit ribosomal RNA", at positions 569 to 888 of the family's 1831-position model. The record is from RNAcentral. Lineage: Eukaryota; Fungi; Glomeromycota; Glomeromycetes; Glomerales; Glomeraceae.